UCCUAGCCCUGAUUGAGGCGAUAUCCUUUUGUGGCGGGGUUCGCCAUAAAAGAUAUAGCCGAAAGCAGGAAUCCAU
This 76-nucleotide small RNA is filed under the name Flavobacterium phragmitis. RNAcentral's name for it is "Flavo-1 RNA". It matches the Rfam family "Flavo-1 RNA". The record is from RNAcentral. Lineage: Bacteria; Pseudomonadati; Bacteroidota; Flavobacteriia; Flavobacteriales; Flavobacteriaceae.